AGAGUUUGAUCCUGGCUCAGAUUGAACGCUGGCGGCAGGCCUAACACAUGCAAGUCGAGCGGUAACAGGGAGAAGCUUGCUUCUCUGCUGACGAGCGGCGGACGGGUGAGUAAUGUAUGGGGAUCUGCCUGAUGGAGGGGGAUAACUACUGGAAACGGUAGCUAAUACCGCAUGAUGUCUUCGGACCAAAGCGGGGGACCUUCGGGCCUCGCGCCAUCAGAUGAACCCAUAUGGGAUUAGCUAGUAGGUGAGGUAAUGGCUCACCUAGGCGACGAUCUCUAGCUGGUCUGAGAGGAUGAUCAGCCACACUGGGACUGAGACACGGCCCAGACUCCUACGGGAGGCAGCAGUGGGGAAUAUUGCACAAUGGGCGCAAGCCUGAUGCAGCCAUGCCGCGUGUAUGAAGAAGGCCUUAGGGUUGUAAAGUACUUUCAGUCGGGAGGAAGGUGUUGAGUUUAAUAUGCUCAGCAAUUGACGUUACCGACAGAAGAAGCACCGGCUAACUCCG
This 508-nucleotide ribosomal RNA is filed under the name uncultured bacterium. RNAcentral describes it as "bacterial SSU rRNA". It matches the Rfam family "Bacterial small subunit ribosomal RNA", at positions 8 to 505 of the family's 1533-position model. The record is from RNAcentral.